Molecule: ribosomal RNA, 253 nt
Filed under: uncultured bacterium
Lineage: Bacteria
Description: partial 16S ribosomal RNA
Rfam family: Bacterial small subunit ribosomal RNA
Source: RNAcentral
UACGAAGGGGGCUAGCGUUGCUCGGAAUCACUGGGCGUAAAGCGCACGUAGGCGGACUCUUAAGUCGGUGGUGAAAUCCUGGAGCUCAACUCCAGAACUGCCUUCGAUACUGAGAGUCUCGAGUCCGGGAGAGGUGAGUGGAACUGCGAGUGUAGAGGUGAAAUUCGUAGAUAUUCGCAAGAACACCAGUGGCGAAGGCGGCUACCUGGCUGACAACUGACGCUGAGACUCGAAAGCAUGGGGAGCAAACAGG